GUUGGUCCGGGAUCAUCAUCUAGGAGAUGUGAAAGUAAACUUGUGGCCUCGUUAAAAACCUUCCUUUGGAAAACCCAGUGGGACAAAACCAAAGGUUAGGAAAAGAGCACACACAAGCUACUUGCCUAGAUGAUGAUCAGCUUGAAGGUGGAGUAGCUUGAUUUGUGGUGAGUGUGUCUGGGUUGAUCAAGCUGCAACCAAGACAAUCUUCUUGCUUCCUUGACAUCUUGAGUAUUCCUCCAUCAGCUUCAUUGAGUUUCUUUGAUCUGGAACAAGUGUUGGGACCUUCAGGAAUGGCUAGGGCAUCUUCAUCUACAAGCUGGUCCAUGAUCACAUCAUCCCCUCCCUCUUCAAAAGGAUUUGACCUCAAAUCUGUUUUAUGUUGGGCUCUCCAUACUCCUGAUGCAUUCCUCAAACCUGAUUCACAAACAAUUAAAUAAAGCAAGUUAGUAUAUGAAGAUUUAUCAAAGAGUAAGAGUCUUAUCCCAAAGAGGUUUUUGCUCGGUUUUGGAUGGUAGGCUGCAUCUGGGGGUGCUUUUUUGAUGAGGACGAAGCUAGGGACGCCUUUGUGCUUAUCCUGGUCCAGAUCAGGUGGUUUGAAUCUCUUGUCUUCCUCACGCUUGUAGUUUCUUCUUGUAUGCUUCAAGGUUUCAUCAUAAUCUGCACAUGGCUCUUUUGACAAAGACAAGUGCAUCAUAUCUGUGUAAACAAUACAAAAAUAAUUCUUGAAGACAUGAUCAAUUACCUUAGGAUGCUCACCUGGUCGCCAUAGAUAGGAUUGAGAUGUUUUGAACUCAGAAAAAUUCAAACAAAGCACACAGAGGAUCAUCCGACUUGUAGAACCCAUAACUCUUUCAUCGGAGAAGCUUUGGACAUGAUUCCAAUUCGACGUGAGACCCUGAUGAGUUAAGUUUCCAUGGCAGUCGAUUUUGCUGAUUAAUUCCUUGUGGUGAUUGAGAUAUGAUCCUCGGACUGCUCCUAUGCCAAGACUGGCUGCUAGACAGCUUCCAAGGUUUGCUUGUUGUGUCUCCAACUUAGCCAAUGACUCAUCAUUGAUACUCUGAUAACUAUAGGCCCUCUUUUCGAAAAGUGUAGAGCUCAACACAGUUUGACCUGUUCGAACAGCAAGCAAAUCAGGUUUCAUAUUUUUCUUUGAGUUUAGAUAGAUACCUCGGGUUGGUUGCUUUGGAGUUUGUUGUAAGCUAUGUUGAUCUGGUGGUUUCUCCUUGAUUUGAGAAGAAAACGUGAGUUCUUCUCCUGAACCAGUAAUCACUUCACCAUUUUCUCCAGUGAAUCCUUGAUAGUGCUCUUGCAGGUCAUAAGACAAGGAUUCAUGAGCUGUUUCAGACUGCAAGUUUUUCUGCUGUUCUAACUCUUCUCCUUGUGUUGAUUGCUCUGGUUCUUUCUCUGAUGAGUCUUUUUCUGCAAGCUGUGUCAAAGAUAAAACACUACUCGGUUGCACCGGUUCUAGACAUGUUAGUUCAUCACAAGCUUGUGUAUUUUCAAGCAAGAAAUCAGAAUGAAAGGAGUGAUGAGAACACUCAUAAUUUCUCAGCAGAUUUGUUUCUUCAUGGUCUUUCAAGCAGUGUGAAGAAUCUGAGACUUCUUUCUCCUCAUAAGUGUUGUUCCCACGUUCAUCCUCAAGCUCUUGGGUUUCUUGGCUAAGGAAUAGAAAAGGUUCUUGAUUAUGUGCUUCAAUGAAUGGACGUGUUGUGUUGGUUGGCUUCAGUGGUUUCCCCACGUCCAUGCUCAACUGAGACAGCUCCUUGAUGUCCUCCUUACUGGUCCGGCUUGUUUUUUUGCUAGAUAAACUAAUGACACUGGUUGGACUUGAUCUCAGGUUGCCUUGUUGUUUCUGAACUGAGUUUGCAGAGCAUGUCUUUAUCUCAGACUGUUUUCGAAUUACUUCCUUGUGGUACUGUCUUGGAAUAAACUCUCUGCGCAUCAAAGUCCUCAGUUUAUGCCAUGUUUCCACAGAUUCUUUUCCUCUAAGUCUUCUGAUCCUUAUCAAGUGAUUCCACCAGCUUGAAGCAUAACUACAAAACUCAGCAGUAGCCAUCUGAACCUUCUUUCUUUCAGCAUAGUGUUGACAACUGAAAAACAGUUCUAUCUUCUCUUCCCACUUCACAUAUGCAGCAGGGUCAGGAUCUCCAAAGAAAAGAGGGAUUUUCAGCUUUUGAUCAGCAAAGUUGUUUCUGAUAUUGCCCUUGAUAUAAUCCUUAGAGAAUUCUCCUUUCUGAUCUCCUGCCAUGGUACCUGAGACAAGAGAAAAAAACUCAGCCAGUAAGCAGUUCACAACAAUUCAAUUUGCAAACCAGAAACAUAUUCAAAUCGAAACUUAAAACCUUAAACAAUUCUGAUUAAUUUUUAUCCCAGCCUGAUUAUUCUUACUCUUAACAGACCAAAACAAAAAUAAUAAACCCAAACACAAGCAGAUUCGAAAUCAGAUUCAACAAGAACAGAAACAGAUUUCAAACUGAAAUUAAAAUCUAAACUUCUCAGAUCAAUUUCGAAAUUUAAACAAAACAGAUCAGAAUCAACAGAUGAUGAUAUGAUAUUUAACAAUCACUGAUCUAUGAUGUAAAGAACAGAUCGAAAUAGAUUGAUAUCACUCAAACAGAAACAGAUCACACAGAUUUUACACAAGUAAACAUAGAUCUGAUUUCUCUGCAAGAAUAUGAAAAGUCUAAACACAAAAACGAAAUCAGAGAAAUAGACAAACACUUCCCUUCCAGAGAUGCUCUGAUACCACUUGAUGAGAUCCUAGGAUGAUGCUCUGGAACAGAUGGGAUAAUCCUUGCAGAAACGAAUCAAAAGACUCAAGCUUCUCAAGGUAUGUGAAUCGAAUGGUGACACAAGAGGCUGCGGAAAGGCUUCUUGAUACUCCUAGGCUUAGAUCGGAUAUGACACACCUCUCUAAAGCCCUUGGGCGUUGGAUAUUACACACCAACAGACUGGAUAUUACACACCAGACACACUUCAACUCGUCCAAGACAAGAGAGAAGAGAGAAAAGGGUUUUUGAUAAAAGAUUGCUUAAUGAUAAAGGGGGGUCACGACCAGAAUAUAAAGAGAGGCCCUUGUACAUGCACAAGGUCUCGAAAAUAGAAAUAAAAAUAAAGGGAACAGGCUCCCUUGGAAACUAAACAAAGACCAAGUUUUCGAUAUUAUUCAAAACAUAAAACAUAUGAUAAAAAUAACAUAAGAUAGAUAAUGUGGUUGGUCCGGGAUCAUCAUCUAGGAGAUGUGAAAGUAAACUUGUGGCCUCGUUAAAAACCUUCCUUUGGAAAACCCAGUGGGACAAAACCAAAGGUUAGGAAAAGAGCACACACAAGCUACUUGCCUAGAUGAUGAUCAGCUUGAAGGUGGAGUAGCUUGAUUUGUGGUGAGUGUGUCUGGGUUGAUCAAGCUGCAACCAAGACAAUCUUCUUGCUUCCUUGACAUCUUGAGUAUUCCUCCAUCAGCUUCAUUGAGUUUCUUUGAUCUGGAACAAGUGUUGGGAC
This 3501-nucleotide long non-coding RNA is filed under the name Brassica rapa (field mustard). Its description in RNAcentral is "long non-coding RNA (BRAP_LNC008493)". Lineage: Eukaryota; Viridiplantae; Streptophyta; Magnoliopsida; Brassicales; Brassicaceae. The record is from RNAcentral.